Passer domesticus (house sparrow) is the source of this 9580-nucleotide long non-coding RNA. RefSeq lists it as uncharacterized. The record is from RefSeq and is a predicted model, not a curated record. The transcript is spliced from 5 exons. NCBI's taxonomy places the organism in Eukaryota, Metazoa, Chordata, Aves, Passeriformes, Passeridae.
UUUAUGACAAGAACUUUUGGUUUUCAAUGGAAUUCACUUUGGAGGGCAGAACAUUUUCUUUUUCAUUGUAAGAAGAUUUGUAAAGGGGCAGGAUUGUGGCUAUUAUUAGAGUUCUUCCUAAAGAAAAUCAUCAAAUCCUUUACAGCACUAGGCAGAUCUGGGCUAAAAAGUAUAACAGGAUGGUAUAGAGCAGGCCAGAUAGCGACAGAGAGAAAGUGGAGCAGGGAGAAAGAAAAAAAUGGAAACCCACAAAGAAGAGCAGAUGCCAAUUAGAAUUCUUGCAGGCUGCAGCAAGGAGUGAGCAUAAGAAGCUGUAGCAAAAGAAAGGGUAGAGUGGAUUAGUGUUAAUCAGAGACAUGGGAAAGUAGGGAAGGUUUUAAAUGAGCUUUUGGGUUAGCAGCUCAAAAGAGAAUUCCAGAUCCAUCAGGUGUAGGGGCAAAAAUAAAAUUCAGAAUAGCAGAAGAUACAUCUGAAUCCUGAGUAAUUAACUUCUGAAGGUAAUAGACAUUUUUUGGAAGUAGAGGCCUCUCUCUCUUUCUGUCUAGCACUGUUAUCCUAGUAAAAGAGUGCACUUAGUAUUAUAAGAAAGUGACUCCUACCUGUUUUCUUUUUCAGUGUCUUAAUGGUAUAUACACACACCACCUUGUUAAAGGAAAGGUAAGUACUAAUGAACUAGAACUUCCCAAUCUCUGGCAAUAAAUUUGCCCAAACACAGAGUGCAGAUGAAUUGCCUCCAGAGUUGGGUGAGUUACACCAGGUAAGAGGCUGGCACAGUAUGGGACAGUCAUAAGUGGUCUGAAGAUCUAGGGGUUCAAGAUGAGUUUCAAAAUCCACUAGAGACAUUGCUGACUUCAGUAAACCCUAGAGCAGGAUGGCUGGAGUGCAAGGGUUGGGGGUCUUCUUACAGCUCUCAGAUAUGAAACAUCCCUUAACAUUUCUGUGCUGCCAAUUUAACUCCCUGUAAAAUGCAGACACUAACACCUAGUCACUAAAAAGGCAAAAAAACCAAAAGUGGAAAAAGGAGAGCCCCCACUGAUUAUCUGUUCUUGGAGGCUCUACAAUGCUAUAAUUAACAAUCCCAUUUCUAGCUGUUUGUGUUUCUUUUACAUAUGAAUCAUCAUUAAAGGUUAAUGAGAAAACUAACACUAUAUGAAAAGGUUGUUUUCUCAUUAUUUAAACAUUUUCAUUUUAAAAGCUCUAUGUAUUCCUAGAAUAUUAUUAAUUUAUUAUUUGCUAAACAAUAUCUUAACCAGUCCCUUUUUAUUUUCUCACAUGGCAUAAUUUUAAGCAACUGCAAUCAGUGCCCUUAGUUCCACUCAUCAGUUCUGAAUCUCUGCACUGCUGAGUCUCCAGCAGAACAAACUUCAUCCAAACAAAGCACAGACAUGUCCAUCAAAUCAGCCAGAGCUUCUGACACGCACCUGGUGCCAGCUUGGUGCUCUGCUGUUGGCUUUACACUGGCUGCCAGAGGAACAGAGGAUUCUGGAUCCAGUGUCAUGUUAGCUUAGCACAGAGAGGUGAUGCCUAACGUAGCAUAAACCCCAUCAGCACUACACCAAACCUUCCAUGUUAUUUUUAAACAAAUUUCAACCAUCAGAGUGAGCAUGUAUGAGAUUGGUGCUUUACAUCAGUAGAUCCAACACUGAGAGCCGUAAAGUUGCAGGUUGGUCACACCCAAGCCUGCAGUAAAUUUUACACUGUGAUAAAACAACCUUGAAUUCAAAUAAAACCUACAAAUCAUUUGUCCAUUUUCAAUGCAUUGGAAUAUAUUAUGGUGUUGAAAACAACUCUUCUGGUAGAAGAUGAACCCUAUAUUACAGCCUCAAAGCAAGCCACCCAUGCUCAUGGCCAUGAGGGGAAAAGAUGAGCACGCAGGGAACAGAAACCCAAAAGUUUGCUCAAGUUCUCACUCCACACCAGGGGUGCACGUGCCAGGUUUUCCAGUUGGAUGUGACUCUCUCUUAAUGACUAAAGUUAAUAAAAAAACCCCUCUGAAAACAGGACUUCACGACAGAAACGCCUACACAGCUGUAAGAGCCACUUCUCAAAUGUUCCUCUGCUUAUGAACCACAAGACUAAUAUGGCAAAAUUUGCCGACUUUUGCAGUUUUUCCCUCUUUUGUUGAAACUAAUGAGUCACGAUUAGAGUAAUGCUUUUCUGUGACUCUGAAACCAUUUUGCCUAAUGAGGUACUAAGUCUUUAUAAUUAGGCCCAGAAGGGAGUUAGGACAUGGCCCCUUAAGAGCAAUAAUUAUUUAGGUUAUUUAUGGUAAUAAAAAAUUGAAAAUAGGAAUUCUUCCUCAGAAUGCAACUAUUUAUUCUUUUACAUAUUGCCUAAUAGGCAAUUACCCUAUUAAGGCAACGUUUUGUUGCUAAAGACAUUAAUUGAAAUGUAAAUUAAAUGUAAAUCAGCUAAUUAAAUUGAUAUGUAAUGAACUUGUCAUGCAGGCCUUUGAGAUCAGAUGCAUUCUGCUAAUAAACAAGUGUUUUACUGGUGCCAUUGCUCACUGGAGUUAAGGUUGUUUAACGUGUUGUGUCGAUAACAUUCUCCCAUCCCAAAUUGAAAGGUUUGGAUUGUGUUGUUAGAGCCCAGAAUGAAGCUGGCACUGGCACCUUCAGGAUUUACUCCGUCCUAUUAUUUCCUGAUCAACUUCAUUGCAAGGCAAGGUGUUCCUCUAAUGGGAAGUGCUGCACAUCCCAUUGGGUUGUGAUCGAAGCUCUGUCUGUUCCUUCUGCUCCCCAGAAAUGACAAAACACUUUGUGAAAGCCCUCUCCAAGAUCAAUUCUGCUGUAUUAGGUGGCUUCUGGAGGGGUUAAUGUUAUUUCUUUCUCCACAAACUGUGGCCAGUUCAGCAGAGGUAAUGAACCCUCACAGCAGUGGGAGGAUAACUCUACACAUUCCUGAAAUAGAAAUAAAAUGAGAAAUGAAGCAAUCAGAAUUUGCUUGGUGAUUAUGUUGACAACAUACAAGGUAAACAUCAAAGCCAAUACAGCAACAGGAGAAUGAGCUAGAAUAACCUUCUGUGCUGGCCAUAAGACACACGUAACCUUCAGCAUCAAAGUGUGGGCUUGUGUCAAGCUGUAAAUUAAAGGGAAAGAAUAGGAAACUAUCAGUUCUCCUACAAAACAAACCAUUUUCCUGCAGCUGCCAUUUGAGCCAGACCUACUGGCAAAUUUCUGGCAAAAACUGAGGCCCUGUAUUGAAGGUAUCUUGGAGGACAAAAGUCCCUCCCCUGCCAGAUACAUUGACAAAACUCACUGACUCCAAUUAAGCAACAGUAAGGCAAAUGUCAUACAUUUUGCUUUCAAAAAAUCUCAGGUCAGCACCUUAUAGAACUCACCGCCCACUUAUGUUCACAUCAUGCAGACAUUCCAAGUGCUCAGUCACAAAGCUUAAGCACAUGUAGCAAAAAGGGCUGUGGAAGCAAGUGAAUGGGAAAAACAGUUUGGACUUGUGGAAAUCCAGAAAGUUUUCCUGGAUCCAUCAUGCUGUAGCUGCACCUGAGCAUUAAUGCUUAAUUAUUUUGUCUGGAAUAAAUCAGAUGCUGAGUUUAUAAUUUCUUCUAUCCAGAGAACCUUCAACCCUGCAAUCCUUCAGGGCCUGGGGAUAUUUAAUAAACAUGUCAACAACCACUCUUCUUUAGCUUGAAUGCAGCAUCUUGUUUUGUCCUACUGAAGAACACUCCAGUUUGAAGUUUACAGAGCAAUUAAAGACCCUCAUGGGGCCCCAGAUAUUGUCAGCAUAUGUAGAUUAGUAAUUGUCAAGUUUCUCCCUAAGGCUGAAGAGCUCUUAGUCAAAUUCCAGAGAUCAUCAAAUAUUCAGAUUUCAGUGGACCUUGUGUCAUACACAACAUAGUGGCAUAAUUAAACUAAAAUGUUUCUUUUCUAAUAAACUUUUGGAUCUGUAUUUGUUUCGAUUAUUAUUUUUAAUUAGCUAUGAUCACAAAAUAAAAAAGUACAUCAAUCUAAAUCUGCAAUUUUGCUGCUUCCAAAAAGCCACCCUGUUUGAACCUUUCUCUUAAAGAAGUUGGGAUUUGGAGACCACACUUACGCUGACUUGCAAAGGCCUGAUGGAGCACAAACCUCAGCAGACAGGAGGUACAGUUCCUUCUCUGACUUCUUUCCAGUCGACACCUGGUCAACAGGGCAUGAUGCUGCCAUCUCGAGCUGUGUCUUCAUUGAUGUGGUGGCUUGGAUUAGCUCAGGUUUUAGUUUAUUCUUGGCUAGUUUUGAUGUCUGUGAACAUUGAUGUAGAUCGAAACAAUAUUAAAAAAACAAAAAAAAAACUUUAGAGGUCAAGAAGGGAAUUAGUGUAAGGAUCCUCCCAGCCUAGGGUCUUACUGUAGUGACUGACUCCAGCCUUCCCUGUUGUUUGAGCCCUCUGCCUGCCACACUGGGCAGUCAAAUACUCACCUGAAUUGUUGCCUUUCUUUGAAUCUUGCAUGGUCCAGCUCUCAGAGAUCAAAUAAGUGCUCUAAUAUGGUAAAAUGGAUGCACAAGAGCAACUGGGUGAAGCUUUCCUGCAUUAAGACUGGCCUGUGCACGUUCCUCCAGCUGGUUCCCCCACAAUCCAUUGGACUGUGGUCCUAGGGCUUGGAAGGGUCAAAGUGUUGGUCACUGGUCUGCAUCCAUCAUUGGAGUCACAUUUCAUUGAGCUGUGUCUGUGGACAAAGCCUGUAGCAAGGAGGAAGUUGUUACAAACCUUUCUGAUGUUUCUGACCUACAAACUCAGAUUUCAAAGCUGCAUUUGGGAUCUGAAAGUUUAAUUCCUGGGAAAAUGAAAAAGAAUUGGGCUUGGAAAUUGUGAAGGUAGGUUUAAUAAUCUUCAUUACAGCACGUUACAUAAAAGAGCUAAGUUACUGCUCAUGAGUAGAUCUUAAUUUCCAUGCUGUUCAUAUUUCCUAGGUGUAGCAGAGGACAAACUGGCAGUGCUUGGAAACGGACAGAAACCUUUUGUUAACCCCAGACUGCCCAUGCACACACAGGCUACUUUUGCUUGGCAGUACCAGCUUGUUGAACCAGUGGGUUUAACAGCCUCCCAUCGCAUGGAGAUGCUCUAGCACCAUCCAAGGGCUCCACACCCCCAGGAAGUUAGCAGAGAUUGCCCAGCAAUAGGGAGCCUUUCCCAGCCAUUUCAGGCAGAAAUCCUCAGAUGAAUGGCUUGGGAAGUCUCAGGAUGGCUGAGUGACAGCUCGGUUCAGGAACGGGGUGUACUGAACAUGAAAUGUGAGACACUGCCUUGGGAGCAUCUGUGUGAUUUAGCCAAGCACCCAUGGCCAUCACUCAACUGGCUGCUGUGACUCAGGCAUGGAGCCUCAUUCACUUCCCUCACUGGCUCUGUGACCCGCUUCUGUCCUGCUUCAGCUCACUUCAUCUGCCUGAGUCUUGGGCCACCAUGUGAGAAAUGGAAAAAUUAUAUAUAAAGCAACAUUAGUAUGAGAAGGACAGAGAGACUUGAAGGGGAUGGAAACCAGCUCGUUUGCCAGCCAUGCCAAUUUUUUUCAUCAGCCUCCAGUGGAAAAAGAAACAGACUGAGGUCAUUCCCAUCCAGCACCGUUCCUCUGCCUGCUGAGGAACCUGGUGUAACUUAUUUUGAUGUGCAAAGAAAGAGGUAGGUAGACACGAACACACACACACAAAUAUAUAGAGCACACACACAUAGCCACACGUAAUCUAGGAGGCAAAGAGAGAAUCUGUACCUGCAUUUGUGAUAUCUUCCUGCACCAGGUAAGGAAAGCAUCUUUUUCCUUUUAACCGGGUGCCGUACCUACAUUGUUUCCUCGCAGUCUAUCUUUAGGUUAUAGCAGUUCACAGGUUUUUUCAGCAGAUGUGUUAUUCAAUUACUUCAGGGCUUUUCCAUUUGUAAUAUUGCGAAGCAAUGAUAGCCAGCAGACUUCACCUGUCUUUUAGAGAUAGCCAGCCUGGUAAUUUUAACUCUGCCCAUUUUAUCCACACCAGUAAAUCUCAUAACAUGGUUAUAGAGAGAUUCCAAUUUUUGUAGAAUCUUCUCCUGGGAAUUCCUGUAUACAGUAUUGCCAUAGUCUGUAAUGGACAUAACCUGUGAUUGGAUUAAUGUUUCCCUAGUGAAGAAGUCAAAGCAUUUCAUGUUCCUAUAACUGGUUUGCAGCUCUGCAGUAAAGGUCUUUGGUGUGGCAGAGAGAAUAAUUGCAAACUCAGCCCCAAUCAGAAUAUAUAAUCCCCUCACAGUGAGGGUCUAACUCAGUGCAGUUAGACUGCCUGUGAAGGGGUUUGUAGUGGGAUUUUCUUGUCAGGAGAGCAGAAUGCAUGGAAAACAAGUUAAUUUCAGCAUUUCAAUAUUCAUCAUCCAGUCCUGUACGAAGGGAGGCAAAUACAUUGCUACUGCUCCAAGGGAGAGCCCUGCAGCUCCCAGAGCAGGGAAUGUGAAGAGGCAGGCAGGGCUUUGCAAUGGCCCACUGGUCUCCUCACAGGAAAAGCCCCCCACUCGUGUGCAGAUAAACAUGUGCCUUUGCUCUUAAGAGUAAAUACCAUUCUGUCCAAAUCAAAGCCUAGUUUUGGACCCAUAUUGGCUUCUGAACCUGUCAGCAUCCCUGGUGUCACCUUACCUUGGUCCUGACACAAGUGACUAAUAAGGAAUUACUGUUGGGAAAAUUCAGCAUGAAUUACUUACAUCUGAGACACGGAUCACAUCCAGGAAGAAGAGGCUAAUGGCAAGCCAGGAGUAAAUUCUGAAGCAGGAUCUGCCUGCUCAGGUGGAGGAGGAGGAACUUCCAACACUCACAUGGGAGGGAAGGGAACUAGAAGCUGGGAACAAAAGGUCUCCUGUUUUCAGCUCCCAUGCUAGUCUCCCCAAAAAAUGGGAUGUGUAAACCCUCAGGCAAACUAGCAGAGACCCCUCAGUGAAAGAAAGGCUCAGGCUCCCAUCCCCAGCUGGUCAGGGAGAGCUUUCAAGAACCACAGUUUAUUGCAGAACCCUGAAAGCAGCUGUGGGUAAAGCACCAUAAAGUCAGCUCUGCCUAUGGGGUUCAGGGGAGAUGUGACUGGGAUCUCAGCAUGGAAAAAUUGGGUACUGGCAACUGUGGCUUGGCCAGAAGGUGCCGGAGACAAACUGAAAGAGGAAGGAAAUGGGAAGCAAGAGCAAAGAGCUUGAACAAGACAUUCUGGAACAAGGAUAAGGAGGAUGGGUUCCAGGAUGGGCGUGCUGCCUGGCUGAAGAGCAAGGCAGAUGCUCUUGGCAGAUAACCUUAUGUUUGGAUGUUACAGCAUUGCUAGGCAGGUGGAGAGGAUGGGAAGGUUAGCACCAUGGGACUUGACAAAUGGGAUGUCAUCAUUCCCCAUAUGGGUAACUGUCUCCAAUCUGUGCUUCCUGUGCCACUGAAAGGUUGGAAUGUCUCAGCAGAAAGGCAGCAUCUCUGGCAGAGAAGAGCAAUCUACUUUAGGUCUGAAGACCUACAGAUUUUAGGCUGUGGGGCAGAUACCUGUGCAAAAGACAAGUAAGAAGUGGAGACAGUGAUUUUCAGGAAAAUCCAGUUAUUAAAUCUAAACUUAAAAGACUGGCUUUUACAAGUCUGACAGAGAGAGCCUGUGACAGCCAAUAGCUUCCCAGAACCCAGCCGUCUUGGUUUUGAAGUGAUCGGGAGCCUGUGAGGAGGAAGAAAUGGAAAUGAAACAACACACUCAUUCCACAGCUGCUUUUUUCACUUUAUUCAUAUUUCUAGAGUAGUCUUUCUAGCAGCUAAGCAAAUAUUGAAACUCUCUCAUUAUAUAUAUAUAUGUAUGUAUAUAUAGUAACAUCCAAAAAUAAAUAAUAUGGAAUUCUGCAAGUGUUUUUGCAAUGAACAUGGGAAAGAACAUUUUAACUUCAGCAAACCAACUUUGAAAAUCUUCACUAAAAUGCUAUAAAACCCAAUGAUAGUCAUAAAUUAGCACUAGAUUAAUUCAAAGGAGAACUUAUCCCCCCCUCCACGUACCUUCCAAUCCAUAUCUCCAAGAGGUCAUUUUAAUUAUCUCACUGUCACUGCUAUUCAUUACUCUGCUUUUGGAGACAGAGAGCCAGCACUGUGCCUUUUGGAUGCCUUGGAAUUCAUCAUAUGAAGGCAUUUUAUUCUCCCCAAAAUGUACACAGUUUAACCCUCUCACCUUGAAGUAGUGACGGUAGCAGGUUUGCUUGGUGUUUUAAAUCAUUUUCCUUACAGUGGGAUACCUCCUUGCUUUCAAGUGAGGUCCCCUUGUCAGACAGCAACAAAAGAAAGCCCAGCUAAUGGGUGGCUAAUGCACAGAUGAGUUCAGCUCAAGUUUUGGCAGAUCCUGAGUAGCUUAUCCUUCUUCAGAGGCAUGCAGAGCCAAGCUUUUGUCCGUACUCAUACCUGCUCACUCCUUCUGGCUGCAGUAAUGCAAACUGGGUGGAAACCAUGUGCCAGUGGCUCCCAGGAGGUCCAGUGGGAUGUGGGACCCAGCUCAGCCUGACUCUGUUCCUAGAUCAUGGCAUUCCCUAUGUAAUGGGGAGGUGCUGAGGUUUUACUUGGGAUUUCUUACACAACACUUUUGUUCACCCCUUUCAGCACUACUCCUCACUCACACUGCCUCAGUCAUACAUCUUUUGGCGAGUUUGGUCUUUCUAGACCCCAAGCAGUUUUUGAUGGAGGACCACUGUCCCUGCCUGUUGGACAGGUCUUGCAGCAAGUUUCAUGCCUGCAGCCUGACAGUCCCAUUUCUCACAUGACCCCUCUCCUCAAAUGAUCUGAUAGAAGAGCAAAAAACCCAGCCAUGCAGUGGAUGAUAAACUGCACACUGAGGAGCACCUGCCUGGCUCCCUGAAGCUAUUUAUCAGGCUCUCUUAAUGCAAGCUAACAGGACUAGCACAUGCAGUAGGCAUAAGGGCUUCUGAGCCCAGCAUUAAAAGGGGAGACAUCAGAUGGUGCAGUAGAGAAGCCAGGACUCCCUCAUUAGCUCAUUGUAUGGAUUACCCCUUUAAAGAGAGAGAAGGGGACUGGUGGAGGAAGGAGAGGCUUUCUCAUUUUAAUAAAUAGCUUUUCAGACACCACAAAUGAUUUCUGCAAAUCUAUAAGUUCACUCUUUUUUUCCACCCACAGAUAGGGAAGAAAAAAAAAAAAAGCCCUGAAAUUGAUUCACCAUCUAUAAAUAAAAAAGAAUCAAUAGUAAAAUUUCUAGCUAAUUUCCCUCUCCCUCUUUGCUCCUUGGACUAUUUGUUAUCUUAGAAAUAUUUGUCUGGGAAAAAAAAAAAAGAGAAACAUCAUCGAUUCCUGACUGCGACGUGUUGCCCUACAGCUCUCCUCUCCUCUCCUCUCCUCUCCUCUCCUCUCCUCUCCUCUCCUCUCCUCUCCUCUCCUCUCCUCUCCUCUCCUCUCCUCUCCUCUCCUCUCCUCUCCUCUCCUCUCCUCUCCUCUCCUCUCCUCUCCUCUCCUCUCCUCUCCUCUCCUCUCCUCUCCUCUCCUCUCCUCUCCUCAGCGAGUGGAAGGAGAUGAGUCCUUCAGGUGCGCCUGGCUCCUCUUCUCAGGUUUGCCUGCAGCACGGCCGUUCCCGGGGCCCCGCUGGGCAGUGCAUUUGUAGAGUGGCACGUUGUCCUUCCUGCCAAAGGAAGA